UGGAGAAGCCAGUGAUGGUGGGUGCCAGAAUGUCUGAACCUGUCUGAAGCAUCUUGGUGAUGCGUUCUGUGUGGCUCUGAGGCUUCUUCCUUG
Sarcophilus harrisii (Tasmanian devil) is the source of this 93-nucleotide small nucleolar RNA. The record is from Ensembl. NCBI's taxonomy places the organism in Eukaryota, Metazoa, Chordata, Mammalia, Dasyuromorphia, Dasyuridae.